RNAcentral lists this ribosomal RNA (497 nucleotides) under uncultured bacterium. RNAcentral describes it as "partial 16S ribosomal RNA". It matches the Rfam family "Bacterial small subunit ribosomal RNA", at positions 28 to 507 of the family's 1533-position model. The record is from RNAcentral.
GAUGAACGCUGGCGGCGUGCCUAAUACAUGCAAGUCGAGCGAACAGACGAGGAGCUUGCUCCUCUGACGUUAGCGGCGGACGGGUGAGUAACACGUGGAUAACCUACCUAUAAGACUGGGGUAACUUCGGGAAACCGGAGCCAAUACCGGCUAAUAUAUUGAACCGCAUGGUUCAAUAGUGAAAGACGGUUUUGCUGUCACUUAUAGAUGGAUCCGCGCCGGAUUAGCUAGUUGGUAAGGUAACGGCUUACCAAGGCGACGAUGCGUAGCCGACCUGAGAGGAUGACCAGCCACACUGGAACUGAGACACGGUCCAGACUCCUACGGGAGGCAGCAGUAGGGAAUCUUGCGCAAUGGGCGAAAGCCUGAUGGAGCAACGCCGCGUGAGUGAUGAAGGUCUUCGGAUCGUAAAACUCUGUUAUUAGGGAGGAAGAAAUGAGUAAGUAACUAUGCACGUCUUGACGGUACCUAAUCAGAAAGCCACGGCUAACUACGUG